RNAcentral lists this microRNA precursor (86 nucleotides) under Capra hircus (goat). RNAcentral's name for it is "miRNA (ENSCHIG00000002475.1)". The stretch from base 13 to 77 matches the Rfam family "mir-29 microRNA precursor family". Rfam says of the family: This family represents the microRNA (miRNA) precursors mir-29. Animal miRNAs are transcribed as ~70nt precursors and subsequently processed by the Dicer enzyme to give a ~22nt product. The record is from RNAcentral. Lineage: Eukaryota; Metazoa; Chordata; Mammalia; Artiodactyla; Bovidae.
AUCUCUUACACAGGCUGACCGAUUUCUCCUGUGUUCAGAGUCUGUUUUUGUCUAGCACCAUUUGAAAUUGGUUAUGAUGUAGGGGG